CCCGCUCUUUAAAAUUAGGUAGAGAAUUGGGAGUAAAGCUUCAAUCCUGAUCUUAAUAGCCAUGGCAUUCUCUUUUUACACUUGUUUUGCUAUUUUACUUUUUUCACUCUCUAUAGCAGUGAGGAGUAGUGAGAUUACUAGAGCAACAAAUAAUGAUUCAGAAUCUCUUGUAGCUGAGGAAAAAGCAUUGAUGGAAACUGGGUGGUGGAGUAACUACAGCGACAUAGGUGUUCACCAUUGUACAUGGCCUGGUGUCAGAUGCAGUGCAACUGGAAGUGUCAUCGAGAUUGAUCUUAGUGGCCAUGGUCGAAAUGGGAGUAUAACACCUCAAAUAGGUGCACUUUUCAAACUCAAGUGCCUCAACCUGUCCUCAAAUAAUCUUAGAGAAUCUCUUGUAGCUGAGGAAAAAGCAUUGAUGGAAAUUGGGUGCUGGAGAAACUAUAGCAACAUAGGUGUUCACCAUUGUACAUGGCCUAGUGUUAGAUGUAGUUCUACUGAACGGUCAUCAAGAUUGAUCUUAGUGGCCAUGAUCUAAAUGGGAGUAUAACACCUCAAAUAGGUGCACUUUCCAAACUCAAGUGCCUCAACCUGUCCUCAAAUAAUCUUAAAGGAAUGACAAGACCGCCCCCAAUCAGCAUUCGAGCGUGCCACGCUCGCCACGCCUGGCACCCCCAAUGCAUGGCCUCCCUUCUCUGCUGCCACCUGAAAACAAAGAGGAAGAAGACAAAAUUGAGGGAUUAAAAAGAAAAUUGAAGAGAAAGAGGAAAAAUUUGACAGCUAAGAGAAAAAAAACAGCAGAAAGAUUUCAAAAAAAAGCUCUCAAAUCCAACCGAUUUCCCCCACCGCCACCACGAUCGUCGCGCCACCACCAUCGUUGCUCACCGUCGAACCCAAGCCAAGAACCAAGUACGUAUAAACAAAAGAAAAAGCAGCAAGAAAAAGAAAAAGUAAAAAGAAACAGUAAAGAAGAAAGAAGAGAAAAAAAGAAGAAGAGAGGAGGGAAAAGAGAGCUCCACAACCACCGUCUACCGUCGUACCAGGCUGGGGAAGUGACGUCGAGGCUGCUGAAGGAGAAGACGAAAAAGGAGAAAAAUAGAAGAAAGAAAGAAGAAAAAAGAAAGAAGAAAGGGAAAGAAAAAAGAGAAAACAAUAAAAAUUUUAACAACCGGGCCAAACUGACCCGACCGACCCAUCACCAAAGAAAG
Molecule: RNA transcript, 1205 nt
Organism: Gossypium raimondii (Peruvian cotton)
Lineage: Eukaryota; Viridiplantae; Streptophyta; Magnoliopsida; Malvales; Malvaceae
Gene name: MDIS1-interacting receptor like kinase 2-like
Exons: 3
Source: RefSeq, a predicted model, not a curated record